GACGAACGCUGGCGGCGUGCUUAACACAUGCAAGUCGAACGGAAAGGCCCUGCUUUUGUGGGGUGCUCGAGUGGCGAACGGGUGAGUAACACGUGAGUAACCUGCCCUUGACUUUGGGAUAACUUCAGGAAACUGGGGCUAAUACCGGAUAGGAGCUCCUGCUGCAUGGUGGGGGUUGGAAAGUUUCGGCGGUUGGGGAUGGACUCGCGGCUUAUCAGCUUGUUGGUGGGGUAGUGGCUUACCAAGGCUUUGACGGGUAGCCGGCCUGAGAGGGUGACCGGCCACAUUGGGACUGAGAUACGGCCCAGACUCCUACGGGAGGCAGCAGUGGGGAAUAUUGCACAAUGGGCGGAAGCCUGAUGCAGCAACGCCGCGUGCGGGAUGACGGCCUUCGGGUUGUAAACCGCUUUCGCCUGUGACGAAGCGUGAGUGACGGUAAUGGGUAAAGAAGCACCGGCUAACUACGUGCCAGCAGCCGCGGUGAUACGUAGGGUGCGAGCGUUGUCCGGAUUUAUUGGGCGUAAAGGGCUCGUAGGUGGUUGAUCGCGUCGGAAGUGUAAUCUUGGGGCUUAACCCUGAGCGUGCUUUCGAUACGGGUUGACUUGAGGAAGGUAGGGGAGAAUGGAAUUCCUGGUGGAGCGGUGGAAUGCGCAGAUAUCAGGAGGAACACCAGUGGCGAAGGCGGUUCUCUGGGCCUUUCCUGACGCUGAGGAGCGAAAGCGUGGGGAGCGAACAGGCUUAGAUACCCUGGUAGUCCACGCUGUAAACGGUGGGUACUAGGUGUGGGGUCCAUUCCACGGGUUCCGUGCCGUAGCUAACGCUUUAAGUACCCCGCCUGGGGAGUACGGCCGCAAGGCUAAAACUCAAAGGAAUUGACGGGGCCCCGCACAAGCGGCGGAGCAUGCGGAUUAAUUCGAUGCAACGCGUAGAACCUUACCUGGGUUUGACAUGGAUCGGGAGUGCUCAGAGAUGGGUGUGCCUCUUUUGGGGUCGGUUCACAGGUGGUGCAUGGCUGUCGUCAGCUCGUGUCGUGAGAUGUUGGGUUAAGUCCCGCAACGAGCGCAACCCUUGUUCACUGUUGCCAGCACGUUAUGGUGGGGACUCAGUGGAGACCGCCGGGGUCAACUCGGUGGAAGGUGGGGAUGACGUCAAGUCAUCAUGCCCCUUAUGUCCAGGGCUUCACGCAUGCUACAAUGGCUGGUACAGAGAGUGGCGAGCCUGUGAGGGUGAGCGAAUCUCGGAAAGCCGGUCUCAGUUCGGAUUGGGGUCUGCAACUCGACCUCAUGAAGUCGGAGUCGCUAGUAAUCGCAGAUCAGCAACGCUGCGGUGAAUACGUUCCCGGG
This 1343-nucleotide ribosomal RNA is filed under the name uncultured bacterium. Its description in RNAcentral is "16S ribosomal RNA". It matches the Rfam family "Bacterial small subunit ribosomal RNA", at positions 28 to 1378 of the family's 1533-position model. The record is from RNAcentral.